RNAcentral lists this long non-coding RNA (515 nucleotides) under Fukomys damarensis (Damara mole-rat). RNAcentral's name for it is "lncRNA (ENSFDAG00000027899.1)". The record is from RNAcentral. Lineage: Eukaryota; Metazoa; Chordata; Mammalia; Rodentia; Bathyergidae.
AUGUCCUGCAGAAUUGAAAUUCAAGCAGCAUUUCUUCUUUCCUCCUUUGUGACCUUCUUCACUGGACUUCUCAUCUUAUCCGUUAUUAGAAUAAGCUGGAGAGUCAUUGAAAAAAGGCAAAGCUUCAAGAGAGCAGGAAUUGUGCAGGAACUACUCUCAUCGGACUUCGUUACCCAUAGUCCUUUAAGAAGACUUUCCUCUUAUGGAGUAUUUCGCAAUCAAAUAGAAAUGUUGCUUUCCGCGCAAACUUUUGUGGGGCAAGUACUGGUAAGUGCAUUCCCCUUGUUAGCUUGCUAAGGCAUUCGAGCGUGACCCUGAGCGUGUCGGUGUGGGCACUCUCACAACCUCAGCAAGCAUUCCCGGCUCCCUGGUGGUCUUAUCUCCUUGUCAGGACUCACCUUCCUCUAUCCGUUGCUCUCAAGCAUUCUCUGCUUGUGAAACAUAAACCCUCAAAAGCUCCUUGAUGUUUAGUGAACUAAUCUGACCUGAAGCACAUGGCUACUUUCUCCUCCUCU